UCUCAGUGGUGUUCCUAAGGGAACAGAGAAGAAUUAAAAGUCUCACUCAAGAGAGAUGAAUGACGGCAGAGGAUCCCGUUUUCUUUGCUGCCUCACCCUGCUGGCUUCCCUCACCCUGCUGUACCCUGCCUCUGCCCUCCCUGCCAGCACCAACAGAACCCCUAGAACCACAGCAGGAGUCACUCACCUGUUCGGCAACCUCUUUACCUACGUGUCCUCCCUUCUCAAUCUCAACCCGCUGACCUCCACCACCGCCACCACCGCCACCACCACCACCACCACCUACGACUCUCUCACGGGCUGUCCCUCUGGCUGGCUGGCUGGUCUGUGCUCUCUCCUUCACCCAGCGCGACAAGGGUUCGAGAAAUCCAGACAGCUUGAUAUCGUAGUAGUAGAAGAGCCGAGGUUGUGGUGAGAGAGAGAGAGAGAGAGAGAGAGAGAGAGAGAGAGAGAGAGAGAGAGAGAGGGUAGAAGUUACUAGGAUG
Portunus trituberculatus (swimming crab) is the source of this 485-nucleotide long non-coding RNA. RefSeq lists it as uncharacterized. NCBI's taxonomy places the organism in Eukaryota, Metazoa, Arthropoda, Malacostraca, Decapoda, Portunidae. The record is from RefSeq and is a predicted model, not a curated record. The transcript is spliced from 3 exons.